GCCCGGCUAGCGCGGUCGGUAGAGCAUGAGACUCUUGAUCUCAGGGUCGUGGGUUCGAGCCCCACGUUGGGCG
RNAcentral lists this transfer RNA (73 nucleotides) under Danio rerio (zebrafish). It matches the Rfam family "tRNA". Rfam says of the family: Transfer RNA (tRNA) molecules are approximately 80 nucleotides in length. Lineage: Eukaryota; Metazoa; Chordata; Actinopteri; Cypriniformes; Danionidae. The record is from Rfam by way of RNAcentral.